This 18-nucleotide ribosomal RNA is filed under the name Serichonus gracilipes. RNAcentral's name for it is "partial 26S ribosomal RNA". Lineage: Eukaryota; Viridiplantae; Streptophyta; Magnoliopsida; Rosales; Rhamnaceae. The record is from RNAcentral.
UGCGACCUCAGGUCAGCG